Molecule: small RNA, 119 nt
Filed under: Salmonella enterica
Lineage: Bacteria; Pseudomonadati; Pseudomonadota; Gammaproteobacteria; Enterobacterales; Enterobacteriaceae
Description: RtT sRNA
Rfam family: RtT RNA
About the family: This family represents a bacterial cis-regulatory element known as RtT RNA.
Source: RNAcentral
GUAUCUGAAGCCUGACGAGGAUGAGAACCUCCGGGGGCAAGAGGUUCGACUCGAGCGAAGCGAGAGAACGUUGCGCCAGCAACGGCCCGCAGUGGCAAGUCAUCCUCUGUCACCGGCCG